GAUGAACGCUGGCGGCGUGCCUAAUACAUGCAAGUCGAGCGAACAGACGAGGAGCUUGCUCCUCUGACGUUAGCGGCGGACGGGUGAGUAACACGUGGAUAACCUACCUAUAAGACUGGGAUAACUUCGGGAAACCGGAGCUAAUACCGGAUAAUAUAUUGAACCGCAUGGUUCAAUAGUGAAAGACGGUUUUGCUGUCACUUAUAGAUGGAUCCGCGCCGCAUUAGCUAGUUGGUAAGGUAACGGCUUACCAAGGCAACGAUGCGUAGCCGACCUGAGAGGGUGAUAGGCCACACUGGAACUGAGACACGGUCCAGACUACUACGGGAGGCAGCAGUAGGGAAUCUUACGCAAUGGGCGAAAGCCUGACGGAGCAACGCCGCGUGAGUGAUGAAGGUCUUCGGAUCGUAAAACUCUGUUAUUAGGGAAGAACAAAUGUGUAAGUAACUAUGCACGUCUUGACGGUACCUAAUCAGAAAGCCACGGCUAACUACGUG
RNAcentral lists this ribosomal RNA (497 nucleotides) under uncultured bacterium. RNAcentral describes it as "partial 16S ribosomal RNA". It matches the Rfam family "Bacterial small subunit ribosomal RNA", at positions 28 to 507 of the family's 1533-position model. The record is from RNAcentral.